CGGCGUUGCGGGCGGCGGCGCGGCUGGCGCGGCCGGUGCCGGCGCGGCUGCAACGGCCGGUGCGGGCUUCGGCUCGGCUGCGGCAGCGCCGC
Molecule: transfer RNA, 92 nt
Filed under: Betaproteobacteria bacterium
Lineage: Bacteria; Pseudomonadati; Pseudomonadota; Betaproteobacteria
Description: tRNA-Thr
Source: RNAcentral